AAACUACGCCUGCAUGAAGCUGGAAUUGCUAGUAAUCAUAGGUCAGCAUACUAUGGUGAAUACGUUCCCGGGCCCUUGUACACACCGCCCGUCACACCAUGAGAGUUGAGAAUACCCGAAGUCCAUGUCAAAGUGGCCGAAGGUAGGCUUGAUGAUUGGGGUGAAGUCGUAACAAGGUAAC
This 181-nucleotide ribosomal RNA is filed under the name uncultured bacterium. RNAcentral describes it as "partial 16S ribosomal RNA". It matches the Rfam family "Bacterial small subunit ribosomal RNA", at positions 1307 to 1500 of the family's 1533-position model. The record is from RNAcentral.